This 75-nucleotide transfer RNA is filed under the name Simkaniaceae bacterium. RNAcentral describes it as "tRNA-Glu". It matches the Rfam family "tRNA". From Rfam's summary of the family: Transfer RNA (tRNA) molecules are approximately 80 nucleotides in length. The record is from RNAcentral. Lineage: Bacteria; Pseudomonadati; Chlamydiota; Chlamydiia; Parachlamydiales; Simkaniaceae.
GGCCCCAUCGUCUAGCCAGGCCUAGGACACAAGGUUUUCAUCCUUGCAACAGGGGUUCGAAUCCCCUUGGGGUCA